This is a long non-coding RNA of Dreissena polymorpha, 339 nucleotides long. RefSeq lists it as uncharacterized. The transcript is spliced from 3 exons. Lineage: Eukaryota; Metazoa; Mollusca; Bivalvia; Myida; Dreissenidae. The record is from RefSeq and is a predicted model, not a curated record.
CGUGUCAAUACAAGGGCGUUACCUACCAGAGUGGACAGACAUUCAAGGAUGACUGCAACGACUGUAAAUGUUGGGAUGGAGCUGUGGAAUGUACAAACCGAGAUUGUCCAAAGAAACCAUGCCAAUACAAGGGAGUAACCUACCAGAGUGGACAGACAUUUAAGGAUGACUGUAACGACUGUAAAUGUUGGGAUGGAGCUGUUGAAUGUACAAAAAGGGAUUGCCCUAAGAAACCGUGUCAAUACAAGGGAGUAACCUACCAAAGUGGACAGACAUUCAAGGAUGACUGUAACGAUUGUAAAUGUUUGGAUGGAGCUGUUGAAUGCACAAAACGUGAUU